Molecule: ribosomal RNA, 331 nt
Filed under: uncultured Zavarzinella sp.
Lineage: Bacteria; Pseudomonadati; Planctomycetota; Planctomycetia; Gemmatales; Gemmataceae
Description: bacterial SSU rRNA
Rfam family: Bacterial small subunit ribosomal RNA
Source: RNAcentral
CGCGUAGGCGGAUUUGCAAGUCCGGGGUGAAAUCCCACAGCUCAACUGUGGAACUGCCUCGGAUACUGUGAGUCUCGAGGGUGGCAGGGGUAUGCGGAACUAUCGGUGGAGCGGUGAAAUGCGUUGAUAUCGAUAGGAACUCCGGUGGCGAAGGCGGCAUACUGGUCCACUUCUGACGCUGAGGCGCGAAAGCCAGGGGAGCAAACGGGAUUAGAUACCCCGGUAGUCCUGGCCCUAAACGAUGGGAACUAGCUAGUAGGCUUCACAUGGGUUUACUGGCGAAGCAAAAGUGCUAAGUUCCCCGCCUGGGGAGUAUGGUCGCAAGGCUGAA